CUGCAUAAAAUGGUUGUGUGAUAUAACUGCAACAGUAAAGAAUGUAAUUCAGACUAUUUUUGUGUAUGCUUGAGAAAAUGUUUAUAAUUUUUUUACCAAAAAAAAAAAAAAAAAUAUGUAAAGAUUCUCCAUUUUCAACAAGAUUGGAAGUUGUAGGUUAACUUGUAUUUGACAUUACAAAAAUUCUUUCUAUUUUCCGUUUAUACUCAUGUCUAGUCAAAAAACUUCCAGCAGUUUAAGAAUGGAUAAUGUAAAAGAAAAAGAAAGAAAAAAAAAAAAAAAUGUUCAAUUAUUGAAAUGUAUUUUUUUUUUUGCAAAUUGUAAUGUAUAUAUUUUUGCCAUCUUUUUGUUAUUUUAGGAUUUGAGAUACUUUCAAAUUUUACAAGUUACUUUAUACAUGUAGUUAAUGCAAUUAAAUCUGCCGAUGUGAAUAUUCCCACUAAAUUUCUUAGCAAAAAGUUUAAUUAUUUUUUUUUUUUUAGCAACGUUUCAAAAUGCCUUACCAUAGCAAAUGCCUCUCUAGUGUAAACUAAAAAGAUGAAUAAUGGUCUGCAGUAAAUAUAUCCCCUUACAACCUUUUCUUUCGUGUUAAUUUUAAUAUCUUUAAGAUAUGUGACAAGGGUGCUCUAAUGCAGAGGAAUUUACGAAGUUAAGAAGUUAGAAAUAUAUUUUUUGCACUUUUUUUGUCAUUUUUAGCUGACUUUGGUUUGUAACCAAGGUGAUAUUUUUUAAAGAAUAAUUUUACAAAAGGCAUAGUUGAAGAACAUCUUGUUGAAAUUGGAUUGGUUGAUUUUUGGUGUUAAACACCACUUUAACAUGAUUUACUAUAAUUUUGGCUGUAAAUUUUUAUUUGUGGAGACAGCCAGAGUGCCUGGUGAAAACAUCACCUUCAUCAGGGAAACGGGCAAACCCUAGUCAAAUUAAGAAUGAAGUUACACAUUUCAUGUGAGGGUUCUCAGUGUUGACAGGCUAGUGAUACAGUAGUUGAACUACUUAUAGGACCACUCUGCCACCAUAAGUCGAUCAGUACGAAAUAUUUUAUUGAAAUGUGUUAGAUUUUUGUUAUCAAUCUAUUUUUUAAUUUUAAUUGUACUAUUUUAUUUAUUUUGUUUAAUAUAACAAGGAUGUGGAGUCCGAACAGGGUGAAAUUUGGGUCAAAGGGAGGCAAUUUAUUAUACCCCUGUUUAACUCCACAUACUUGAAAUUCCCUCAAUGUUAGGAUUUUCAUCUACUGGAUAUUCAUGUUUGUACAUUUUUUUUUUAAAUCAGAUGUAUACUAGCUAAUAUUGACUAUUAUUUAGAGCUCUGUAAUAAAAAAAAAUAAAUGUAAGCAGAGCUCUAGAUAAUAAGUAUGCAGGGUGGGAGAAAUCUUGGGUCAUUAACAAUUGAUUUGCUGAAAUUUUCAAGAAAGGGGAUUUAUUGGAAAUGCAUCUGAUAUAUUUAAUGUAUAAAACUAUAUUUAAAAAAAAAAGAUGUUAAGAUGAUGAGGAGAGCCACCUUGUCAGCCGGGAGAGCAGCUCUAAGGGAGAUGGUCAAUUUAAUCUUCUCCAAGUCUGAGGCUUUACCAUGAAAAAUAUGUGGUUGUUAUAAUGAUGAUGUUUUCAUGGUGUUGGGAGUAAGACUUGGAUGUCUGAUAUUGUUAACAUGUUGGUUAGCAUCAGGUUUCCAUUGGGUUACUUGCUGGGAUAAAGCUGUUAUAAGUCAAAAGAGUUGCAGUUGCUGCCUUCUUUGUAUGGUAAAAUCCUCAGACUACAAUCCUGCAAACCAUUGGAUGAACUGUUGCUAUCUUUUGUAAAAAAAUCAGCAGAUAUUUGUCUUAUAAGCAGAAUGAAUUAUAAAUGCAAUUAAUUUUUAAUGCUUUAUUAUUCAAAUUAUAAAUAUUUAUUUCAUUAUUUUUUCUUGCAUUCAAAUAUUGUUUUGUGAUUGAAGAAAUAUAAAAAAAAAACUGUGAAAUUAUUGUUAUUUGAGAGGUCCCAAAGGUAUGAUGUAUGGUUUCACAAGAUACCCAUAAGACUUGCUUCAGUUAACAUAUAUUUUUUAAGUUAUGUACACUGGUUAAGAAUUAUAAAUCCUUUGUGAAAUGAUUUUUUUCUGGUUAGAAACCUAUUAAGUAGGACUUCGAUGGCCAAACACUAAAAGGGAAUAAAACAAAUCCCCUAUUAAACAAUUUAAGUACUGAGUUUUUGGUGCAAUAUGAACUAGAAAUAAAAAUGUUUAGUUAGAUGGUUUGUUUUGACUCUGCAUUCUUUACAUUCAUACAAAUUAAUGGCUGUCAGUUUUAUUUAUUGGUUUUGUUUAUAUAUUAUAAAUGCAUUAUUCAGCAUUUGAGGCCACUGAAGUGAAAAUAAUUACAUAGUUUUUGCAGUUUGUCAUAUUUUCUCAUUUUUGUUUGAUAGAUAUCUAUAUUUUUUCUCAUUUAUGAUUAUUUAUAUUUUAAUGUUUGAUUUUUGAGGCUUGUACUCAGCUUCUAAACAAUUACCUCCCCCCUCCACAUGUAUAACCAGGAUCCUGUAAAAGAAGUUUUGAUUUUGAAGGAUGGAUGGAUAAUUAAAAAUGCAAGAUUUUUUAAUGUGCUGGUUCAUAAUGUAAAAGUCUGCACAAGACAUCUAACCCUACCUGAACACAUUAUUCUGACUUCCAGCUGACCAGUCUUUGCUCCUACUCCUAAAUGCUGAAUGCUUAGCAGGGGAGCAUCAAAUACCAAUUUUCAAUUCUUUGAUAUGACCCAGGGCAGGACCAAAUCCCAUGCUCAUCUGCACUCAUGUUUAGCAUAAAAAGGUUAUUAAAGAAGAUUUGUCUGUCUGUUUGUCCAUCAUCAUCUCUCAUCCACAGCUUAUAAACUAUUGGAAGGUUUUCAUUUAAACUUUCAGAUUAUCUUCUGUAUCUAAUGGCUGUGUGUAUUUUAUUUUAUUAUAAUGAAAUUUUGGGGUUCUCAAUUGUAAUGAAUGGACCUCCUAAGUAUUUGAAAAAAAAAGGGAAAAAAGCUUCUCAUACCACCAUUUUAUCAUGUGAAGGAUAGGUUGGUUCAAAAAUAUUUGUUUUUAAUCAUUUUUUUAGUAGUUGGAUCUCAUUAUGACAAAAUUUUAAUGACUUCAAUUCAAAAUAAAUUUGGGGUUCACACUGAUAUAUAUUACCACUGUAGCUUUAAUGUAAAUUUUAUAAGGCUUUGCUAUAACAUGAUUUGUGUUUUAUCUGGUUUUAUCUGAUUUUAGAGGUUUUUAUGUGAUUUUAUUUGUUUUUAACUGUCAAAUCUUGUUAUACCAAGCCUUAGUAUGAUUGAGUUUAUAUAUUUUGAUUAUACAUGCAAUUCAAAAUAUAAAUUUACAUAAUGAGAUCAGACAUUUAUUAUGCUUUUAGCUCGUCUUAGUGGAUAAAAUAGAAAAAUGAAUGAACAUAAAUAUUGAAGUGGUCAUUGAAGAUUGACCAAAUUACAAGAUUUAUAAAUGCAGAAUCUUGCUCUAACUAAAUCUAUGUUCUUAUCAGCUGAACCAACCUAUCCUUCAAUAUGAGUAAUAAAAUUUUAUAAAUGGAAAAGUCCAUUCUUCGAUUGGGGAACCUUUGGAUGUUAAAAAAAUAUACACAAUGCCAACAGAUACUGAAGAUUAUUUGAAAGUUUAUGCAAAAACAAUUCAAUCCUUUUGAUUGUGAUUGGAAGUUGUAGACGGAUGAGCAAACAGAUGAUACUAUACUUGCUGACUAUGGCACAUUUCCUAAAGGAUAUAGACUAUGGGCAUGGGUUUUGCUCAUGGUUGAAGGCUGUAGGUGACUGAUAGUUGUUAAAUUCUAUGUCAUUUGGUCUCUGGUGGAGAGUUGUCUCGUUGGCAAUCAUAUCUCCUCUUUUUAUUUUAUAUGAAAUAAUUACUUAUUACUUCCUGGGCAAAAAGUUAUGGUUCCAAGAAAAUAAUAAAAAAAAAUA
This is a long non-coding RNA of Mytilus californianus (California mussel), 3916 nucleotides long. RefSeq lists it as uncharacterized. Lineage: Eukaryota; Metazoa; Mollusca; Bivalvia; Mytilida; Mytilidae. The transcript is spliced from 4 exons. The record is from RefSeq and is a predicted model, not a curated record.